UACGGAGAGUGCAAGCAUUAAUCGGAAUUAUUGGGCGUAAAGGGCGCGUAGGCGGAAAGGCAAGUCAGAUGUGAAAUUCCGAAGCUCACCUUCGGAGCUGCAUUUGAAACUACCAUUCUAGAGGGUUGACGGAGAAAACGGAAUUCCACGUGUAGCGGUGAAAUGCGUAGAUAGGUGGAAGAACACCAGUGGCGAAAGCGGUUCUCUAGUUUAUACCUGACGCUGAGGCGCGAGAGCAAGGGGAGCAAACAGG
RNAcentral lists this ribosomal RNA (253 nucleotides) under uncultured bacterium. Its description in RNAcentral is "partial 16S ribosomal RNA". It matches the Rfam family "Bacterial small subunit ribosomal RNA", at positions 524 to 776 of the family's 1533-position model. The record is from RNAcentral.